UAUGUUCUGAGUGAAUGAAGGAAAUAAUUAGCUUAAAUUCAUUAUUUCAUCUGUUGUGGGGAUGGUUUUGAAGAUAUUUCCAUGAAAAUUGUUGUUCAGUGAGCACAUAGUUUAAAGCAUUUUCUCUGGUUUUAGUACCAGAGAUGAGCUGUCUCAUGAAUAAUUGAUUUGUUUUAUUUUGUCUAUAGAUUCUGAAAAUUAAAGAACUGUUUAUUUUUCCCUUUUUGUUUGGCUUUUAAGCAGGCCAGAGUGAAAUUUAGCAUUGAAUUCCAGCUGGUUAUGUUCAUUAACCAAGAUCUGUUUAUUCAGCUAACAUUUAUUGAGCAUUUGCCAUGUGGGAAACACUGUCCCAGGCGCUAGAGAUACAGGACUGAGCAGAGCUAGGCAAGAUCUUAUCCUAAAGGGGCUUAUAAUAUGCAGGUAGCUGGUAAUGAAAGAAUUACUCAAAUAAGUCUCACAGUUGCAAUUUGGAGAUAUGCUAUAGAAAAUAAGUCUGUGGGAUUUUGAAAACUUGGAACAGGAGGCUUUGUUCUGGUCAAAGUAAUGUCAGAGAGGUUAUCAGAAGAAGGGAUAAAAGUUAACGGGAUAAAGAGUGGAGGGAAGAACAUUCUAGGGAAAGGCUUGAGGUAAUGUUCUCCAGCAGAAGGGAGCGUGGUGCCUAGAAAACAUUCAAAAUUCGGCCAGUGUGCCUGCUGUGAAAAGAGCAAGGAGGACUGUGUGGAAGAUGAGUUGGAGGGGCAUGCAGAGGCCAGACUGUGCAGGAUUUCUUGUAAAACUUGCUGAAGAAUUUUGUCUUUAUCUGGAAGAACAAUGGAAAAUCAGGAAAGCUUUAAGAGCGGGGCCUUUCUACUCUCAAAGAAACAAAAAUCGUUGACUUUAAUGGGGAGACACCAUAUACAUGAUUUUAUAGUCUCGAUAUUUUGUAUAACCUAAUUUUUACUUCUGUAGUACUGUCUUUUGCUAAAUUCCCUAGAAAUAAGGCCAAAUCAAGAGAUUCUUGAGCAAGUGAUUUAUUGAAAGAGCGCUCUCAGGAGGCAGAGAGUAAAAGCUUAGGGGAAAUGGCUUAUCAGCAACUGGGUCCUAACUGGAGUCUAGCUUCAGCCUGAUUCCGAGGGAAACUCUGGGGCAUGCAGUGUAUCGCAGAGUUGAUCCCACCUUGAGGUAAGGGAACCAGCUGGAAUCACCUAGCAGCUGUGGGUGGGCUGGCCUAUGAGAGAGAUCGGAAUGGGGAACAAAACAGUGUCUACCACAAGCACUUUAUUUUCUUUUUCUUGAUUGGGAGGAGAUUUAAAAAUUAUUUAUUUCAUUAGUCCAAAUGCAUGUGAUUGACAAUAACUAAAAAGAUGUGCAACCUGUCUCCAGUUUUUUCCCCCAGAGGCAACCCUUAUUAAGAAUUUCUUGUAUAUCUUUCAAAAAUAAUCUCGCUCUCUCUAUAUACACACACACACACACGCACGCGCACGCGCGCACACACACACACACACAUAUGAAUUGAAGCAGAGUUGAUUUACAAUGUUGUUUGUUUCUGGUGUAGAGCAAAGUGAUUCUAUAUAUAUAUACACAUAUUCUUUUUUAUAUUCUUUUUCCAUUAUGGUUUACCCUGUGCUGUACAGUAGGUCCUUGUUUUUAGCUAUUUUAUAUGUAGUAGUAUGUAUGUGCUAAUCCCAAACUCCUAAUUUAUCCCUUCCUGACCCUUCCCUCUUUGGUAACCAUACAUUUGUUUUCUGUUUCAUGUAUUUGCUCUCCCUUUCUAUAAACCAACCUAUAGCACAGUAUGCUUGUUCUUUCAUACCUUGUUCUCUUAAUAAUGAAACUUAGCACCGUAUAUCAAAACAUCAUCAGAGCUGCAUCAUCGUUCUUAAUGGCUAUAGACUAUUGUAUUGUACCAUAGUAUAUUUUACCUUGAUUUGUUUCACUUAAUAUUCCUAUAUUAAGUCCUGUGUAUAUGUCUAUAAGCCACCUCAAAUACGUGGAAUAGAGUAGAAGCUAAAUGACUAAAACUACCAUAUGAGAUCUCAUGUCCUAUGGCAGUUAAUCUGAAAGACCAAUAUAGGACCUGGAAAUAUCCAUAUUCAAAGAGGGACCGUAUUUUUUUCCUGUAUGACCCUGUGGAGUCUAAUCAGUUAUGGGUAUUCAGUCAGUUCAUUAUGCUGUAGGUCCUUGGCUGAAACUCUUGUCAUUUCAUCAGAAUAUGGCAGAAGUCCCAAGCCAGUUUCAGAGUCUAUUUCAUAUGUUUCCAAAGAAUCCAUUAUGACUUUAGCUGAAGCUCUCCAAACUUUUGUACGGACUUUCGUUAUUGAUUUAAUGUAAAGCCUAAUCAAAUUCUACAGCUUAAAAAUAAACCAGCCUUAUCUAGAUUUAGCUCAAGGCCAAAAUGAUGGUACUUUUCCUCUAUAUCUUUGUCUUUGGAGAUUCAAUUAUCUUAUCUUAGUCAUGGUUUAAUGGAGCCAAAGGUCUGGAAUUGUUCCUGCCUAGUUGUGUUUGCAAAGUGAACAGCUGACAUUCUUACAAGAUGGCUGUUUUGAAAACUAAAGACAGAAUCUUGGCUUCUCCCCUGAGACUGCCUGUGUAUUCAUGAGUCACACACUGCAGAGACCAACAUGGAGCUGGAUUGGGAUAGGGUUGCUGGUGGUUCCCCAAGCGGAGCCUCCCUGCGAUCUUUUUCUAGUCAUUUCCAAAGGACAGAUGCUCUGUGGCCAAAUGCCAUGAGUAAAACACUUGGCCCUAAAUUUAAUGCAGCUCUGAGAUUCCUGUUUUUUUCUUUAUGAAGUCAUGCAGAUAGAGAAUAGUUGUCUGUUUUUUUUUUUAACUCAGAUAAGUGUAUUUCACCAAAAGAUAACAAUUACCCAGUGUUGUAUUGAAAAGGUAGCAAUCACAUAGUAUUUUAUGUAUUUUUAAAUUUGCUUUAUUGAAAUGUAGUUGAUUUAGAAUAUUGUGUUAAUUUCCACUCUACAGUUAAGGGAUUCAGUUAUAUGUAUAUAUAUAUAUAUAUAUGCAUUUUUUUAUUAUGGUGUUAACACAGGGUACUGAAUAUAGUUUCCUAUGCUAUACAGUAGGAUCUUGUUUAUAUAUUCUAUAUGGAAUCAUUUGCAUCUGCUAAUCCCAAAUUCCCAAUCCAUCCCUUGCCUCCUCCCCCACUUGGCAGCCCUAAGUCUGUUCUCUAUGUCUGUGUGUCUAUUUCUGUUUGGUAGUUCAGUGUAUUUGCAGACACAAUAUUUUAUAUUCUCCAGUGUCCAGUUUAAAACAAAGGUACUAUUGUGAGUCUUGAAUAAGUCCUUCAUUGUCAAAGGAUCAGUAGGUUGAGGCCAGGUGUUAGGUACCAAAUUGACAAUGACUCAGGUUUGUUUUCCUUCAUUUUCUCUUUGGAAGAGAUGAAAGUGAUGAGCAACGCCAACCACUUCAUCCAAAACUGCUCAGUGAAGGUACUGAAUAAGAGAUUAAUUAUUAGUAAAACUGAAUUUUUACCUUGGCACUGUGUCCCAUUGAUGGAUUAUGUAUGUAGAUAAUCAUUUCUUCUUUGCACUUUGUAUUAUUGACAGCCUAUUGGGUGCUGAAAUCCAUCCAAGAGGUAAUGCUUCAUGAUCCUGCACUAAGCCCCAGAUUUCUCAUAUAAAAAACAAUUGUGAGAUUUUUGUAAGGAUUCUGUGAGAUAGUUUAUGUAAAGCUCUUAGCACAAUGCAUGGGACAUAGUAAUCUCUUAUUCACUAUAUUUCCAAUAAAUAGUGAAUGAUUCAUAUGAGUGAAACACUAUUCAAGGUACCAGGGACAUAUGCAGACAUGGACCAUGAUACUUACAUUCCAGUUUGGGAAAACUAAUAAACCCAUAAUCAAGAUAUGUUUAGAGAGUCAUGAGUAUUAUGAAAAUAACUAAACAAGGUAAGGUGGUCAUGGAGUUCCCACCCUGUCACAGAUUCCUGCUACAGCAGCUUGAGUCACUGUGAAGGCAUAGGUUUCACCCUAGCCCUGCGUCAUGGGUUAAAGUAUCUGGUGUUGCUGCAACUGUGAUGUAGGUUGCAGCUGCGGCUUGGAUUCAGUCCUUGGCCAGGGAACUUCCAUAUGCUAUAUGUGCGCCCAUCAAAACAAAAAAAGAUAAGGUGGUCAAAAUUGAAUGGGAGAGGAGAGAAGGUAACAUGAAAUGGGGGGGGGGGCGGUACAUUGGUCUUGGGCUGUUUGAUCUCAGCUCCAUCUUCCACUCCCCUGUUGUGAUCUGUAUGGCCAGGUGGUUGUAGGAUGUAUUCCCCAAGCCCCUGUGUCCACUGAUUUCCAGAUAGGCUCAGUCAGUGGAGCCUCUCACAGGAGAUUGGAAGGGUGGAGGAAAGGAGAAACUGGGGUGUUUCUCCCCACCUCUCUCUGGUGACUGGGUCCUAGCAGUGGUGGCAUUUCUUUUGUGACUCUAGCUUCUGCUGGGCAUAUAUAAAGCUUCUUCCACCUUCCACUUGGUGACCCUAGCUCAUGGGAUCUAGUGAUGCCAGUUCCUUCCGUUGGCUUUCCAAGCUUGGGUGGACUAAGUUUUCCUAUUGUUGCAAAUCCUUACUUGGGUUGCCUUUCCUUGUUUGGCUUCAAAUGCUAUCCAUCACCUACAUCACUAGUUGGCUGUAUUAAAUUCUUUCUGUUUUAUGUACAUAGAAAGCUUUCUGCUUUCCUGGUUGGAUCCUGUCUUGUACAAGAACUUAGACAAAGUCUUUCUCAGAAGAUACCAUUUGAGAUGAAACUUGGAGGACAGAAGUGAUC
Molecule: long non-coding RNA, 4731 nt
Filed under: Sus scrofa (pig)
Lineage: Eukaryota; Metazoa; Chordata; Mammalia; Artiodactyla; Suidae
Description: lncRNA (ENSSSCG00015045419.1)
Source: RNAcentral